This is a regulatory RNA element of 69 nucleotides. It matches the Rfam family "Fluoride riboswitch aptamer (crcB RNA motif)". The record is from Rfam.
UUCAGAUACGGAGAUGGCAUACCUCCUAUCCCAACCGCUGGAUUCCCAGCUGAUGAUGCCUACGAAUUU